Molecule: long non-coding RNA, 646 nt
Organism: Brachypodium distachyon (stiff brome)
Lineage: Eukaryota; Viridiplantae; Streptophyta; Magnoliopsida; Poales; Poaceae
Exons: 2
Source: RefSeq, a predicted model, not a curated record
GUGCUUUAAAGCUAAUCAAGCGGCUGGGAUCAAACCCGACUAACCAUUCUGUUCCUUCUGAAGGAAGGCCACUGACUGCUUUGCGUCGAUCUACUGCUCUCGUCUCGUUGCCUCGCCUAGAAACGCAGGUACGCAGCUGCUCCGGCCACAUCUUUCUCAGUUCCUCAACAGCGCCUAGGUAGUCAGAGCAUAGUCAUGGUACGAGACGCAAACAGAACGGCGGAGGAACGAAGCCAGAGGCGCAUAUAGUCAUGGUACAUCACACUGCCAUAUGGGACCCACAUUUGAUGGAGAAAUGUGUGGCAGCGUAGAGGAGGAAAAAAGCAUGGGAGAUGGAGGACCACGUAGGAAGAGAAGGAAAUGUCACUGUCUUGUGCGGGGACCAAGUCAUGACAAGGAAUCUGGUCGGGGACACUUUUUACGCCAAAAAGUGCGCGCGCACUCCCUAGCAGCCCCCACCGGGGAAUCAUUGGUUUCAAAUCAGGGUGAGCACUAGAAGAACUAAGCCAGUUACAACUAAUUCAGUUUUUAUUUUUCUCUUGAAAAUAGAAUGGGAACUGAAAUCUCGAUGAGGUUAGAAAUUCUGCAAAAUAACAGGCACAUGUUUGGUGUUUUUUUUAAGAAGUAAAACUCCUUGGUCAACUGA